RNAcentral lists this transfer RNA (72 nucleotides) under Chryseobacterium defluvii. RNAcentral describes it as "tRNA-Asp". It matches the Rfam family "tRNA". From Rfam's summary of the family: Transfer RNA (tRNA) molecules are approximately 80 nucleotides in length. The record is from RNAcentral. Lineage: Bacteria; Pseudomonadati; Bacteroidota; Flavobacteriia; Flavobacteriales; Weeksellaceae.
GGCUUAUUGGGGGAAUGGCUAACCUCCCCGAUUGUCUCUCGGGUGAUGCGGGUUCGAUUCCCACAUAGGCCG